CAGUCGCCACGGUAAUACGUAGGGUGCGAGCGUUAAUCGGAAUUACUGGGCGUAAAGCGGGCGCAGACGGUUACUUAAGCAGGAUGUGAAAUCCCCGGGCUCGACCUGGGAACUGCGUUCUGAACUGGGUGACUAGAGUGUGUCAGAGGGAGGUAGAAUUCCACGUGUAGCAGCGAAAUGCGUAGAGAUGUGGAGGAAUACCGAUGGCGAAGGCAGCCUCCUGGGAUAACACUGACGUUCAUGCCCGAAAGCGUGGGUAGCAAACAGGAUUAGAGACCCCUGUAGUCCCUGUCUCUUAUAC
Molecule: ribosomal RNA, 301 nt
Filed under: uncultured bacterium
Lineage: Bacteria
Description: partial 16S ribosomal RNA
Rfam family: Bacterial small subunit ribosomal RNA
Source: RNAcentral